AGCGUGAUGAUCAACAAGGGACUUAAUACUGAUCAUGUAUGAUGUCACCUUUUUAUGUAUCUGAC
Acanthochromis polyacanthus (spiny chromis) is the source of this 65-nucleotide small nucleolar RNA. Its record names the gene SNORD82. It matches the Rfam family "Small nucleolar RNA SNORD82". Rfam says of the family: snoRNA U82 or Z25 is found in both humans and mice. U82/Z25 is a member of the C/D class of snoRNA which contain C (UGAUGA) and D (CUGA) box motifs. Most of the members of the box C/D family function in directing site-specific 2'-O-methylation of substrate RNAs. Lineage: Eukaryota; Metazoa; Chordata; Actinopteri; Pomacentridae. The record is from Ensembl.